CAGCCGCCGCGGGAAUACAGAGGAUGCAAGCGUUAUCCGGAAUGAUUGGGCGUAAAGCGUCUGUAGGUGGCUUUUCAAGUCCGCCGUCAAAUCCCAGGGCUCAACCCUGGACAGGCGGUGGAAACUACCAAGCUAGAGUACGGUAGGGGCAGAGGGAAUUUCCGGUGGAGCGGUGAAAUGCGUUGAGAUCGAAGAGAACACCAACGACGAAAGCACUCUGCUGGGUCGACACUGACACUGAGAGACGAAAGCUAGGGGAGCAAAUGGGAUUAGAUACCCCAGUAGUCCCUGUCUCUUAUAC
This 301-nucleotide ribosomal RNA is filed under the name uncultured bacterium. RNAcentral describes it as "partial 16S ribosomal RNA". It matches the Rfam family "Bacterial small subunit ribosomal RNA", at positions 509 to 807 of the family's 1533-position model. The record is from RNAcentral.